CUGAUGCAGCAACGCCGCGUGAGGGAUGACGGCCUUCGGGUUGUAAACCUCUUUUAGUAGGGAAGAAGCGAGAGUGACGGUACCUGCAGAAAAAGCACCGGCUAACUACGUGCCAGCAGCCGCGGUAAUACGUAGGGUGCAAGCGUUGUCCGGAAUUAUUGGGCGUAAAGAGCUCGUAGGCGGUUUGUCGCGUCUGCUGUGAAAUCCCGAGGCUCAACCUCGGGCUUGCAGUGGGUACGGGCAGACUAGAGUGCGGUAGGGGAGAUUGGAAUUCCUGGUGUAGCGGUGGAAUGCGCAGAUAUCAGGAGGAACACCGAUGGCGAAGGCAGAUCUCUGGGCCGUAACUGACGCUGAGGAGCGAAAGCGUGGGGAGCGAACAGGAUUAGAUACCCUGGUAGUCCACGCCGUAAACGUUGGGCGCUAGAUGUAGGGACCUUUCCACGGUUUCUGUGUCGUAGCUAACGCAUUAAGCGCCCCGCCUGGGGAGUACGGCCGCAAGGCUAAAACUCAAAGGAAUUGACGGGGGCCCGCACAAGCGGCGGAGCAUGCGGAUUAAUUCGAUGCAACGCGAAGAACCUUACCAAGGCUUGACAUACACCGGAAACGGCCAGAGAUGGUCGCCCCCUUGUGGUCGGUGUACAGGUGGUGCAUGGUUGUCGUCAGCUCGUGUCGUGAGAUGUUGGGUUAAGUCCCGCAACGAGCGCAACCCUCGUUCUAUGUUGCCAGCGCGUUAUGGCGGGGACUCAUAGGAGACUGCCGGGGUCAACUCGGAGGAAGGUGGGGAUGACGUCAAAUCAUCAUGCCCCUUAUGUCUUGGGCUUCACGCAUGCUACAAUGGCCGGUACAAAGGGCUGCGAUACCGUAAGGUGGAGCGAAUCCCAAAAAGCCGGUCUCAGUUCGGAUUGAGGUCUGCAACUCG
Molecule: ribosomal RNA, 919 nt
Filed under: Curtobacterium sp.
Lineage: Bacteria; Bacillati; Actinomycetota; Actinomycetes; Micrococcales; Microbacteriaceae
Description: bacterial SSU rRNA
Rfam family: Bacterial small subunit ribosomal RNA
Source: RNAcentral